CCUGAUGUCCAUAGUGCUGUGGCACCACCUGAAACCAUACCGAACUCAGAAGUGAAACGCAGUAACGCCGAUGGUAGUGUGGGGUUUCCCCAUGUGAGAGUAGGGCAACAUCAGGG
Bibersteinia trehalosi is the source of this 116-nucleotide non-coding RNA. NCBI's taxonomy places the organism in Bacteria, Pseudomonadati, Pseudomonadota, Gammaproteobacteria, Pasteurellales, Pasteurellaceae. The record is from Rfam.